RNAcentral lists this long non-coding RNA (412 nucleotides) under Mytilus galloprovincialis (Mediterranean mussel). The record is from RNAcentral. Lineage: Eukaryota; Metazoa; Mollusca; Bivalvia; Mytilida; Mytilidae.
GUAAUUCACUUGCAAGUGAAUGAGUCGACCUCUUUAAAUCCGUAUUCAUGUGAACUUCAAUUCAACCCCUAGCUAGAGAUUGACAACGCAUGCAUUGUACGUGUACUGGUUAUUUAAAGAAAAAGAAUGUCAACAAUGAAAGUGAAACUACGGUAAAUCAUUUGAUUACUAAUUUGAUGCACAUAAAAUCAUUCUGAUACGGUUAGAAACAAUGAGAAACAUCUAUUUUUAAUCUAUAAAAUCAAAUCAAACAGACCUAUAAAAAUCCAAUUGCACGUGUUGGUUUAAUCUAUUCAUAUCUUUAUUUUAUGUUUUUAUCGCUUAUAUGCUCAUCUGAGGUCAAAUCGAUACUUAAUUAGAUGGCGUCUGGACUAAAAUACACACGAAACGAACAUAUAUAUUAUCUACCCCA